GCUGGGAACGAUCAGGAAGGGUAAACCCCUUUUUCUUCUCUAGUUCCUCAAAUCUUUAACAAAUUGAAGGUGUUUCUGGGUAUAAAUCGAAUGCAUGUGACCAAAUUCUCAACCAUCUAAGGGUUUCCUACAUAGGGGAAAAUGUUGAGUGAAAGAAGAAGGAGCUAAUUCCGGUUCGCAACAAAAGGCUCAAGAACCAGGAGUGAAAGAAGAAGGAGCUAAUUCCG
This 227-nucleotide long non-coding RNA is filed under the name Helianthus annuus (common sunflower). Its description in RNAcentral is "sRNA HanXRQr2_Chr13g0566521". Lineage: Eukaryota; Viridiplantae; Streptophyta; Magnoliopsida; Asterales; Asteraceae. The record is from RNAcentral.